RNAcentral lists this ribosomal RNA (253 nucleotides) under uncultured bacterium. RNAcentral's name for it is "partial 16S ribosomal RNA". It matches the Rfam family "Bacterial small subunit ribosomal RNA", at positions 524 to 776 of the family's 1533-position model. The record is from RNAcentral.
UACAGAGGUCUCAAGCGUUGUUCGGAUUCAUUGGGCGUAAAGGGUGCGUAGGUGGCGCUGUAAGUCGGGUGUGAAAUUUCGGAGCUUAACUCCGAAACUGCAUUCGAUACUGCGGUGCUUGAGGACUGGAGAGGAGACUGGAAUUCAUGGUGUAGCAGUGAAAUGCGCAGAUAUCAGGAAGAACACCCGUGGCUAAGGCGGCUCUCUAGUACGGUACUGACGCUGAGACGCGAAAGCGUGGGGAGCGAACAGG